Molecule: ribosomal RNA, 2899 nt
Filed under: Escherichia coli
Lineage: Bacteria; Pseudomonadati; Pseudomonadota; Gammaproteobacteria; Enterobacterales; Enterobacteriaceae
Description: 23S ribosomal RNA
Rfam family: Bacterial large subunit ribosomal RNA
Source: RNAcentral
GGUUAAGCGACUAAGCGUACACGGUGGAUGCCCUGGCAGUCAGAGGCGAUGAAGGACGUGCUAAUCUGCGAUAAGCGUCGGUAAGGUGAUAUGAACCGUUAUAACCGGCGAUUUCCGAAUGGGGAAACCCAGUGUGUUUCGACACACUAUCAUUAACUGAAUCCAUAGGUUAAUGAGGCGAACCGGGGAACUGAAACAUCUAAGUACCCCGAGGAAAAGAAAUCAACCGAGAUUCCCCCAGUAGCGGCGAGCGAACGGGGAGCAGCCCAGAGCCUGAAUCAGUGUGUGUGUUAGUGGAAGCGUCUGGAAAGGCGCGCGAUACAGGGUGACAGCCCCGUACACAAAAAUGCACAUGCUGUGAGCUCGAUGAGUAGGGCGGGACACGUGGUAUCCUGUCUGAAUAUGGGGGGACCAUCCUCCAAGGCUAAAUACUCCUGACUGACCGAUAGUGAACCAGUACCGUGAGGGAAAGGCGAAAAGAACCCCGGCGAGGGGAGUGAAAAAGAACCUGAAACCGUGUACGUACAAGCAGUGGGAGCACGCUUAGGCGUGUGACUGCGUACCUUUUGUAUAAUGGGUCAGCGACUUAUAUUCUGUAGCAAGGUUAACCGAAUAGGGGAGCCGAAGGGAAACCGAGUCUUAACUGGGCGUUAAGUUGCAGGGUAUAGACCCGAAACCCGGUGAUCAGCCAUGGGCAGGUUGAAGGUUGGGUAACACUAACUGGAGGACCGAACCGACUAAUGUUGAAAAAUUAGCGGAUGACUUGUGGCUGGGGGUGAAAGGCCAAUCAAACCGGGAGAUAGCUGGUUCUCCCGAAAGCUAUUUAGGUAGCGCCUCGUGAAUUCAUCUCCGGGGGUAGAGCACUGUUUCGGCAAGGGGGUCAUCCCGACUUACCAACCCGAUGCAAACUGCGAAUACCGGAGAAUGUUAUCACGGGAGACACACGGCGGGUGCUAACGUCCGUCGUGAAGAGGGAAACAACCCAGACCGCCAGCUAAGGUCCCAAAGUCAUGGUUAAGUGGGAAACGAUGUGGGAAGGCCCAGACAGCCAGGAUGUUGGCUUAGAAGCAGCCAUCAUUUAAAGAAAGCGUAAUAGCUCACUGGUCGAGUCGGCCUGCGCGGAAGAUGUAACGGGGCUAAACCAUGCACCGAAGCUGCGGCAGCGACACUAUGUGUUGUUGGGUAGGGGAGCGUUCUGUAAGCCUGUGAAGGUGUGCUGUGAGGCAUGCUGGAGGUAUCAGAAGUGCGAAUGCUGACAUAAGUAACGAUAAAGCGGGUGAAAAGCCCGCUCGCCGGAAGACCAAGGGUUCCUGUCCAACGUUAAUCGGGGCAGGGUGAGUCGACCCUAAGGCGAGGCCGAAAGGCGUAGUCGAUGGGAAACAGGUUAAUAUUCCUGUACUUGGUGUUACUGCGAAGGGGGGACGGAGAAGGCUAUGUUGGCCGGGCGACGGUUGUCCCGGUUUAAGCGUGUAGGCUGGUUUUCCAGGCAAAUCCGGAAAAUCAAGGCUGAGGCGUGAUGACGAGGCACUACGGUGCUGAAGCAACAAAUGCCCUGCUUCCAGGAAAAGCCUCUAAGCAUCAGGUAACAUCAAAUCGUACCCCAAACCGACACAGGUGGUCAGGUAGAGAAUACCAAGGCGCUUGAGAGAACUCGGGUGAAGGAACUAGGCAAAAUGGUGCCGUAACUUCGGGAGAAGGCACGCUGAUAUGUAGGUGAAGUCCCUUGCGGAUGGAGCUGAAAUCAGUCGAAGAUACCAGCUGGCUGCAACUGUUUAUUAAAAACACAGCACUGUGCAAACACGAAAGUGGACGUAUACGGUGUGACGCCUGCCCGGUGCCGGAAGGUUAAUUGAUGGGGUCAGCGCAAGCGAAGCUCUUGAUCGAAGCCCCGGUAAACGGCGGCCGUAACUAUAACGGUCCUAAGGUAGCGAAAUUCCUUGUCGGGUAAGUUCCGACCUGCACGAAUGGCGUAAUGAUGGCCAGGCUGUCUCCACCCGAGACUCAGUGAAAUUGAACUCGCUGUGAAGAUGCAGUGUACCCGCGGCAAGACGGAAAGACCCCGUGAACCUUUACUAUAGCUUGACACUGAACAUUGAGCCUUGAUGUGUAGGAUAGGUGGGAGGCUUUGAAGUGUGGACGCCAGUCUGCAUGGAGCCGACCUUGAAAUACCACCCUUUAAUGUUUGAUGUUCUAACGUUGACCCGUAAUCCGGGUUGCGGACAGUGUCUGGUGGGUAGUUUGACUGGGGCGGUCUCCUCCUAAAGAGUAACGGAGGAGCACGAAGGUUGGCUAAUCCUGGUCGGACAUCAGGAGGUUAGUGCAAUGGCAUAAGCCAGCUUGACUGCGAGCGUGACGGCGCGAGCAGGUGCGAAAGCAGGUCAUAGUGAUCCGGUGGUUCUGAAUGGAAGGGCCAUCGCUCAACGGAUAAAAGGUACUCCGGGGAUAACAGGCUGAUACCGCCCAAGAGUUCAUAUCGACGGCGGUGUUUGGCACCUCGAUGUCGGCUCAUCACAUCCUGGGGCUGAAGUAGGUCCCAAGGGUAUGGCUGUUCGCCAUUUAAAGUGGUACGCGAGCUGGGUUUAGAACGUCGUGAGACAGUUCGGUCCCUAUCUGCCGUGGGCGCUGGAGAACUGAGGGGGGCUGCUCCUAGUACGAGAGGACCGGAGUGGACGCAUCACUGGUGUUCGGGUUGUCAUGCCAAUGGCACUGCCCGGUAGCUAAAUGCGGAAGAGAUAAGUGCUGAAAGCAUCUAAGCACGAAACUUGCCCCGAGAUGAGUUCUCCCUGACUCCUUGAGAGUCCUGAAGGAACGUUGAAGACGACGACGUUGAUAGGCCGGGUGUGUAAGCGCAGCGAUGCGUUGAGCUAACCGGUACUAAUGAACCGUGAGGCUUAACCUU